This 87-nucleotide transfer RNA is filed under the name Streptomyces albus. RNAcentral's name for it is "tRNA-Und (NNN) (tRNA-Und-NNN-1-1)". It matches the Rfam family "tRNA". From Rfam's summary of the family: Transfer RNA (tRNA) molecules are approximately 80 nucleotides in length. Their secondary structure includes four short double-helical elements and three loops (D, anti-codon, and T loops). RNAcentral also lists the same sequence under 1 other name. Lineage: Bacteria; Bacillati; Actinomycetota; Actinomycetes; Kitasatosporales; Streptomycetaceae. The record is from RNAcentral.
GGAGAGAUUCCCGUAGUGGCCUAACGGGGGCCGGACUUGUCCGGUCGGGGCUCAUGUCCCACGUAGGUUCGAAUCCUGCUCUCUCCG